UACGAGAGGCCCAAACGUUAUUCGGAAUUACUGGGCUUAAAGAGUUCGUAGGCGGCCUGAAAAGUCGGGUGUGAAAGCCCUCGGCUCAACCGAGGAAUUGCGCUCUAAACUGUCGUGCUCGAGGAAUCUAGAGGUGAGCGGAACUGAUGGUGGAGCGGUGAAAUGCGUUGAUAUCAUCAGGAACACCGGAGGCGAAGGCGGCUCACUGGGGAUUUUCUGACGCUGAGGAACGAAAGCCAGGGGAGCGAACGGG
Molecule: ribosomal RNA, 253 nt
Filed under: uncultured bacterium
Lineage: Bacteria
Description: partial 16S ribosomal RNA
Rfam family: Bacterial small subunit ribosomal RNA
Source: RNAcentral